Molecule: ribosomal RNA, 638 nt
Filed under: uncultured bacterium
Lineage: Bacteria
Description: bacterial SSU rRNA
Rfam family: Bacterial small subunit ribosomal RNA
Source: RNAcentral
GCGCACCAUUAGCUUGUUGGCGGGGUAACGGCCCACCAAGGCUAAGAUGGUUAGCUGGUCUGAGAGGACGACCAGCGACACUGGAACUGGAACACGGUCCAGACUCCUACGGGAGGCAGCAGUGGGGAAUAUUGGACAAUGGGCGAAAGCCUGAUCCAGCAACGCCGCGUGAGUGAUGAAGGCCUUCGGGUCGUAAAGCUCUGUCAGAGGGAACGAAUAAGGACGCUCUAACACAGCGUCCGAUGACGGUACUCUCAAAGGAAGCACCGGCUAACUCUGUGCCAGCAGCCGCGGUAAGACAGAGGGUGCAAGCGUUGUUCGGAAUCACUGGGCGUAAAGCGUAUGUAGGCGGCGGGAUGUGUUCGAUGUGAAAGCCCUCGGCUUAACUGAGGAAGUGCAUCGAAAACUAUUCUGCUCGAGUGCGAGAGAGGGUGGCGGAAUUCCCAGAGUAGAGGUGAAAUUCGUAGAUACUGGGAGGAACACCUGAGGCGAAGGCGGCCACCUGGCUCGUAACUGACGCUGAGAUACGAAAGCGUGGGUAGCAAACAGGAUUAGAUACCCUGGUAGUCCACGCCGUAAACGAUGAUCACUUGAUGUCGGGAGAAUUGACCCUUUCGGUGUCGUAGCUAACGCGAUAA